CAUGCAGUUUCUGUUGCAAUUGUAUUGGCCUGGGUUUAGGGAACUGUCAGAACUUUCAGAAGAAGAUGGAGUUUCUCAAACCAAAUAUAAGAAGAUAUCUCACAUUCCCCACAUGGUCUCAAUGCACAGGUAAGUUCUUCUCUAGCUCUGUUUUUCAUUGUUUUUUAUUUUUAAUGUAAAUAAGGAGCAGAGUUAAUCUCUUAUGUUGACCUUGCUUUGAGAAAACUGCUUUUACAUGUAUUUUUAAUUCAGAUGUCCACAAUAAUUUCAUUUUAGUUUGAGCUAAGUGAUAACUGUUGAAGGCUCACUCACUCAUUGGGAGAAGCUCCAUGACGCAGGCUGCUGGGAUUAGCUAGUGCAAUUGCUGUGAAGAGGCACAUUCAUUGGGAGAAAUUAAAUUUUAGAUUUUCUUAGUGUGUAUGUUUGGCUGCGAUUAAAAUGAUUUCUCUCGUUGUUAAUGAUUUCUGAUUAUCCCGUUCUUUAUGGCCAUAAACAGUUUUCCACGGGCUGCAUGUGGCGGCAAAAGAUUCAUGUUGAUAAGGCUAAUGCUAAGUUACAUGCAUGUAACUUAGGGAGAUCCUGUUGAUAAUUAUAUCUUGUGGUAUGUGUGUUGCAUUUGAGCACAUGCAGAAACAGAGCUGAAGGAAAAGCAAUUGACCCUAGAAGAUGUUGCAAAUAUAACAGAAGUAUAUUUCUACUUGCGGUCAAUUUACAUUUGUUUCUUGUGUCAUCCUAUCUCAUUCAUCAUUUUGGACAGAGUUUGGAAAAAAAAAAUUAUACGUAAAUCACUUUCCAAUGGUUCAGUGAUUUUUGAUUGGUUGUAAAAUGUUGAACCUCUUUUCAGAUUUCCAAAUAACUGUUAGAUUGGAGAAGAAUAAGAAGAUAUUAUUAAAAGGAUAUUUAAUUAGCGCUCUCUGAAUUUAGUUGCCAAUAAUGCAUUGAAAUAGUUGGGGAAAGUUAUUAUCUUAAUUAAAUUACAG
Molecule: long non-coding RNA, 980 nt
Filed under: Citrus x clementina
Lineage: Eukaryota; Viridiplantae; Streptophyta; Magnoliopsida; Sapindales; Rutaceae
Description: Citrus clementina (C. clementina) long non-coding RNA (CCLE_LNC002466)
Source: RNAcentral